RNAcentral lists this ribosomal RNA (496 nucleotides) under uncultured bacterium. RNAcentral describes it as "partial 16S ribosomal RNA". It matches the Rfam family "Bacterial small subunit ribosomal RNA", at positions 28 to 507 of the family's 1533-position model. The record is from RNAcentral.
GAUGAACGCUGGCGGCGUGCCUAAUACAUGCAAGUCGAGCGAACAGACGAGAAGCUUGCUCCUCUGACGUUAGCGGCGGACGGGUGAGUAACACGUGGAUAACCUACCUAUAAGACUGGGAUAACUUCGGGAAACCGGAGCUAAUACCGGAUAAUAUAUUGAACCGCAUGGUUCAAUAGUGAAAGACGGUUUUGCUGUCACUUAUAGAUGGAUCCGCGCCGCAUUAGCUAGUUGGUAAGGUAACGGCUUACCAAGGCAACGAUGCGUAGCCGACCUGAGAGGUGGUCGGGCACAACGGAACCGGGGCACGGGCCAAGAUCCUAAGGGAGGGCGGAGUAGGGGAACCUGCGGCAAGGGGCGAAAGUUGGCCGGGGCACGGCGGGGGGGUUAAGAAGGUCUUCCGGUCGUAAAACUCUGUUAUUAGGGAAGAACAAAUGUGUAAGUAACUAUGCACGUCUUGACGGUACCUAAUCAGAAAGCCACGGCUAACUACGUG